UACGAAGGGGACUAGCGUUGUUCGGAAUUACUGGGCGUAAAGCGCACGUAGGCGGACUUGUAAGUCAGGGGUGAAAUCCCGGGGCUCAACCCCGGAACUGCCUUUGAUACUGCGAGUCUUGAGGUCGAGAGAGGUGAGUGGAAUUCCGAGUGUAGAGGUGAAAUUCGUAGAUAUUCGGAGGAACACCAGUGGCGAAGGCGGCUCACUGGCUCGAUACUGACGCUGAGGUGCGAAAGCGUGGGGAGCAAACAGG
This 253-nucleotide ribosomal RNA is filed under the name uncultured bacterium. Its description in RNAcentral is "partial 16S ribosomal RNA". It matches the Rfam family "Bacterial small subunit ribosomal RNA", at positions 524 to 776 of the family's 1533-position model. The record is from RNAcentral.